CAUGUAGAUGUCGAGCCCAUCAAGCCUCUUGUCACACAGGUAGCAUCGGCUCAGGAAGUCGGCCCUCUCCGCAGGCAUCUCAUCAUCGGCUUUCACAAGCCAGCCGCCGCCGCCGCUGUCGCCGAACCCGAAGUAAACACGCUUGCGGACGCUGCCGCCGCCGGCGCCGGCCACGUGCGUGAUGACACAAGUGUAGCUCUCGGAGAGCUCGUCUUCCUCGCGCGCACGGCGCCUGGCCGCGGGGCCGAUGGCGAUCGGCUCGGCUCCGGCCAGACAGGGUCGGCUCAUGUCUGCAACGAUGCCGAGCCCGACCCCGCCGGCGUCGAAGCUCCGCCUCGGCCUGGGCUCCGGGGAGGUGGCCCCGAGGAAGACGGAGAGGAGGUUGGCCAAGGACGAGGAAGCCGUCGUCAGCUUGGCGACGGAGCUCCGUCCAGCCGGCGAGACCUUCGGCUCCUCGGUUGCCGGCUCAUGAGACCACAUCAUUCUCUUGCCAAAUCAAGCGUGUCGAUGAGAGAGUGAGAGAGAGAGAGAGAGAGAGCGAG
Molecule: long non-coding RNA, 542 nt
Filed under: Setaria viridis
Lineage: Eukaryota; Viridiplantae; Streptophyta; Magnoliopsida; Poales; Poaceae
Description: long non-coding RNA (SVIR_LNC000115)
Source: RNAcentral